RNA transcript from Mytilus trossulus (common blue mussel), 1299 nucleotides. It is a transcript of the gene named histidine N-acetyltransferase-like, with no coding region annotated. The record is from RefSeq and is a predicted model, not a curated record. The transcript is spliced from 6 exons. Lineage: Eukaryota; Metazoa; Mollusca; Bivalvia; Mytilida; Mytilidae.
GUUACAUAAUCAUACGACCAAUUACUUAUACAUGUAUGUGUAUGUGUAUUUACUGACAUGGAUUCGAGAUUACAUGCAUAAUCAUAACGAUCACCUGAGUGUAUUUUUAAGACGAUUUUCUUGUCAUCAAAUGCGGAAAUGAGUAAUCAAAGUAUAAAGAUUGUCCGUGUAACAAAGGAUGAUUAUGAUAAAGUGUGCGCUAUAAUUCCACCAGAUGAAAUUUACAGUGGAACUGACUAUCUUCCGGAUUACUUUCACAUGCUACUUGAUAUGCCAAAUGUUGAAGCGUAUGCAGCUGUUGUUGAUGGUAAAUUUGCUAGUUUUUAUCUAUUUUCUAUAGUUGAUAAUGGAAGAACAGUGAUAAAUCGGGCAGCCAGGACAAACAAAGGGUAUGCAGGAAUGGGAUUACAGCCUAUUUUGAAGAGAAACACACUAAAGAACCGAAACUUUGACAAAAUAGCAGCAACCGCUGGAGCACACGUUGAAGCAAUAUUAAAUCUAAUUAAGGCGGGGAAAAGAGAGAAAAUUCUAUUGUUGGAAUUCAGAUCGUUUAUUACAUCAGUAGAUCAACUGAAAAGUAUACUUAACACAACUGGAAAUAUGACACCUACUUCCGCUCAACCAAUUAAUGAAUCCGAACUUGCCGAUAUACUUACUAAUCAACAAGUGUGUUGUCAUCUCUUUCCAGAAGACCGUGUCAUUGUUGACUGGGUUCCGUAUCGACUGAUAAAAUCGAACGCUUCUCUCAUCAAAACAAUACGAACAACAGUUAUCGGUUCUAAUUUGAAAAAUGAUACCAGAAUUCUAACAUUUGCCAACUAUUUCACUGCUUUAGCAGGACUGGUAUGCAAUAUAGAGGUUUAUGGACGUGUCGGGGAAAUUUUAGCCGAACACAUAUAUUUACAUCUGCGGGAAUUGAUUUCAAAUGUGAUUACUGGAAAGGUCAUUAUUCGCUGUUUUUUUCAACAGGAAACUAACUCAAAUUUCAUAACUAGUUUAAUGAACCGAUUUGGGUUUGACUUUACAGAAAUAUGGGGAACUAGGUUAGUGUGCAUUGAAACGACAUCAGAAAUUUAUUUCCGUGAGAGCAAAUUGUAAAGGAGAUUUUUGAGGCUUAGUAUGACCACCAUGAUUCCAGUAAAGAAUAACAAUCCUGCCGAAAAGUACAAAGACAGCUAACAAGAACACGGCACAUAUGGGUGGUGCUAGGUACCCAGUAACAGCUUGAAUAUACAGGAAAAGUUGUCCCUCCUGAGAAUUUUGUAUUAGCGGUAUCCAUGCAACGCUUAUGCCAACCAA